UUUCGUUAUCGUGUCGACCCGAACACCUGUUAAUUUCGUAUCGUGUCGUGUCGGGUUAUCGGGUCGUGUCAGGAAUUGCCAGGCAUAGUCUCCAUUAUGUUAUUUCCCCUUUUCCUUUCUGCUGUGCUAUCCUUGCUGUUCCUGCUUCUUGUAUUCUUUUUUUUUUGGUUCUUCUACUCCUCUCUGUCUGCCCGCUCUGUCUUUCCACCCCAUUGUCCCUGUCCCGUGUGCCUUUCUUCAUCUUUUCUUAUCUUUUUAAUUCUUUCUUUUUUUUUUCUUUUCCUUCCACUUUUCUUGUCUGCCAUCUUUUGCUUUAAACAAUAAGGCAAUGAUCCUUUCAAAACAUCACCCCGUGGAGACAAGCUCCACUUCCAUUUCUCUUAUUUGUUUUUAUUAAUUCCUUUUCUCCAUUUUGCUUGAAAGUGAUCAUAAAAUAAAUUUAACUGCACAUUAAUACAAGAUAAGGUAAAAUGCCACAAUUUUAACACAAAAACAUCACAAAGACUUUAGAAAUUGAUGGUAUAAAUGCAUGAAAUAUAUAAGUGAUCAGCAUGGUCUUCCCAGCGCCAUAAGAGCCCCGCAACUAAAGUCACCGAUUUUCUUCCCUUUGAAAAUAUAGUUGUACACGUCGAAUGCGUACUUUAUGUUGAAAUGUUUUUUGCACUCAACCACUGCCGGCGAGUCAUCCAAAUGCGCCAAUGUUGGAAGUGCGCAAUUUGCCAAAAGUAAAAUGACCAUAAUUGGAAACAUGUUUAGUCCGGCCAUAAUAAUGGAAAUAAUGAGUAACUUUUGAAUUUCUUAGAAAAUAAUCCCUUAAAUGCAGUUGAACUUUGGUGCAAGGAGUUCUACACUUAUAAGGGAAAAGGCAAAGGUGAGAGUCAUUCGUAAAAUGAAAAACGCAUUUUCCUUUAAAACUACUUUAGCAACGUAUUUACUGAUGUGAGGUAUCAAAUACAAGGGUUUCUAAUUUGGUAUUUAUCUUUGUACCAUAAAUGCAACUUACAAGUUCCCUUAAAAUGUUUAAUCAAUCUUAACAAUCACAUAACUAUUUAUUAUUUUGCACAAAUAUUACUUGUUUGCAAAUUAAAUUAAUUCACUGUCUAGUUUAUUACAAUAGAGUUGCAAAAACCAUGAACUGAACUUACAUAUCGUGUUAGUAACUAUCAUUG
RNAcentral lists this long non-coding RNA (1169 nucleotides) under Malus domestica (apple). RNAcentral's name for it is "long non-coding RNA (MDOM_LNC003221)". The record is from RNAcentral. Lineage: Eukaryota; Viridiplantae; Streptophyta; Magnoliopsida; Rosales; Rosaceae.